UGUGGAUGAUGUCAUGUUCUUCCUGACUACUGUGAGGGCAAAAACUGAUUUAAUGAGUCUGAUGC
Molecule: small nucleolar RNA, 65 nt
Organism: Cynoglossus semilaevis (tongue sole)
Lineage: Eukaryota; Metazoa; Chordata; Actinopteri; Pleuronectiformes; Cynoglossidae
Source: Ensembl